GCUGAAAAAAAGUGCGGACGUUGAGUACGUGUGAAUCGUGCCUCCCGGGAAUAAAACAGCAGGCGAUGAUUUAAGAUCAGCAGACAUCGAAAUGAUUUCGUGUCCAGCUGAUCCUCUGAGACGGGGCACUUCCGCAAAUUCAGAAGUUGUGAUGAUUAACUGGAGACCAUUCAGCAGCCACUUCGGACCAGCCGUCACCCCAGCAACACUCCACCCCGUCCAGCCGGAGGUGGGGGGGGGGGGGAGAAUCGGGUUGCGCCAGGCCGCCCCGAUUGGCUGAAGCGCAUCAGACAAGGGAGCUGCCUCCUUCUGAUUGGUCGCGCUGCCAUCAGGAGCUGUGGCGCUUCGAGCCGCCGGUUCGAAGGUGUCGCUGACCGGCAGUAACCCGGCCGCCGGCUGAUGCAACCGCGGAAUCCCAGGCAGUCAGCAGAGUUCGCAGGAGCACCAGCUCGACUUGUAGUAACCCCCCACCCGCGCAGCAGCAUUACUAAGAGAGGGAACUUGGGUGCUGACCGCAGACUCAACAUAAAAAGAAGUUCCAGUCCGGUUAGUGGGAGACUUGGACAUUAAUGGAGUUACCAGGUUCUUUUGAAGACCCUGACCUGGAGUUACAUUCUGACUUUGGUUCUUUGCGGGAAUGGGACCGGCUCUUGGGGUUUUACAACCGGCGUUAUCUGAUAUGGCAAGGGCGUGGCCUAAGAGUUCGGUUCGCCUUUGGAGGAUCUUGAGGCUUUGGAGACAGGCGGAUUGAAGGUCGGUGUCCCAACAGGCUGGUGUCGUGGGAGUCGGAAGAGCGUUGGCUGUGUGCCCAGAGACCUGAGAUCUUUGGGCACAGACCUCAGAAAAAGCGAUGCAUUGGACUUUUAACAUCGUAAAUCAGCAAGUUGUUUGUUAUGUCUCCCCUCUCGCAGUGAAAUGGAUCCCAGAGAGAACCUGUGAUUGGGAAGAGACUGCAAUGGACAAAGCAGUGUGAGGUGGCUGUCCAAAAGGAAAAGGAAAUGGUGAUGUCAAACACAGUAGUCACACAUUAUGAUCCACAUUGUCCAGUGAAGCUUGACAUGCACUGUUCGGGAUGCCAAUUCAUCCAGAAGAAAAGUGUCUAGAGCUGUCCAAACCACUUUGUGCAGACCCAGAGUCAACUCCUACAACCCGCACGGAGGAGGCCCCAGAACCUGCGAUUGUUUCACAGCCUCAAGUCUCAUCUGCCAAGUGAGUGACCCCUCCCCCU
This is a long non-coding RNA of Hypanus sabinus (Atlantic stingray), 1228 nucleotides long. RefSeq lists it as uncharacterized. The record is from RefSeq and is a predicted model, not a curated record. NCBI's taxonomy places the organism in Eukaryota, Metazoa, Chordata, Chondrichthyes, Myliobatiformes, Dasyatidae. The transcript has 4 exons.